GUUAUUUCUGCUCAAUGACAUUAAAUAGCCGCAGUACCCUGACUGUGCAAAGGUAGCAUAAUCAAUUGGCUUUUAAUUGGAGUCUAGUAUGAAUGAAAGUAUGGAUGGUAACUGUCUUUAGUAUAUUUAUUGGAAAUUAUUAAGUGAGUGCAAAUACUCACAGAGAUAAAAAAGACGAGAAGACCCUAGAAACUUGAUUAAAGAUUUUGUUGGGGCGACAGAAUUACACUUAACUAAUUUUUAUAAACAAGAUGCCAUGAGGAAAGAAUAAGUUACUCUAGGGAUAACAGCAUAAUUUUAAUAGUUUGUGACCUCGAUGUUGGACUAGGUAUUGUAAUCUUAAGGCAAGAUUAUAAAACGCUCUGUUCGAGCAGUUUCACCUACAU
RNAcentral lists this ribosomal RNA (386 nucleotides) under Helix buchi. Its description in RNAcentral is "partial 16S ribosomal RNA". It matches the Rfam family "Bacterial large subunit ribosomal RNA", at positions 1852 to 2601 of the family's 2925-position model. Lineage: Eukaryota; Metazoa; Mollusca; Gastropoda; Stylommatophora; Helicidae. The record is from RNAcentral.